UUUGACUCCGUGCCCCUCCACAAUGUCAACUUGUUCAGCUGCUGCAGCUUGGACAGAGACACCAACAUCACUUUACAGACCAACAGGUGUCACCACUUCGUCUCAACAUCGUCCACGAUCGCAGAGACAUGGUCCAUGAUCGGAGAGGCAUUGUUGAGGAUGAGGGAGACAUCGUCCACGAUCAGAGACAUUGUCCACGAUCGCAGAGACCUUGUCAAAGACGAGAGAGACGUUGUCCAUGAUCAGAGACAUUGUCCCAUGCUUCGCAGAGCUCUGCGCAAGAGUCGGUAGUGACACUGUGGUUCCUCGAUUCGACGGCAUGACCGCGAUCAUGGAAACAUUUGUCAAUGAUCACAGAGACACCGUCUAUGAUCUCAGAGACAUCGUCCACGAUCAUAAAGACAUUGUCCAUGAUCACAGAGACUUUGUCCAUAAUCUCAGAGACAUUGUCCGCGGUCACAGAGACGUAGUCCACGAUCACAGAGAGUGUUCGUACAAUGAAGGAGUUCUUUGAGACCAGGACAGAGGCCUCCAGGUGUCACCACUUCGUCUCAACAUCGUCCACGAUCGCAGAGACAUGGUCCAUGAUCGGAGAGGCAUUGUUGAGGAUGAGGGAGACAUCGUCCACGAUCAGAGACAUUGUCCACGAUCGCAGAGACCUUGUCAAAGACGAGAGAGACGUUGUCCAUGAUCAGAGACAUUGUCCCAUGCUUCGCAGAGCUCUGCGCAAGAGUCGGUAGUGACACUGUGGUUCCUCGAUUCGACGGCAUGACCGCGAUCAUGGAAACAUUUGUCAAUGAUCACAGAGACACCGUCUAUGAUCUCAGAGACAUCGUCCACGAUCAUAAAGACAUUGUCCAUGAUCACAGAGACUUUGUCCAUAAUCUCAGAGACAUUGUCCGCGGUCACAGAGACGUAGUCCACGAUCACAGAGAGUGUUCGUACAAUGAAGGAGUUCUUUGAGACCAGGACAGAGGCCUCCAGGUGUCACCACUUCGUCUCAACAUCGUCCACGAUCGCAGAGACAUGGUCCAUGAUCGGAGAGGCAUUGUUGAGGAUGAGGGAGACAUCGUCCACGAUCAGAGACAUUGUCCACGAUCGCAGAGACCUUGUCAAAGACGAGAGAGACGUUGUCCAUGAUCAGAGACAUUGUCCCAUGCUUCGCAGAGCUCUGCGCAAGAGUCGGUAGUGACACUGUGGUUCCUCGAUUCGACGGCAUGACCGCGAUCAUGGAAACAUUUGUCAAUGAUCACAGAGACACCGUCUAUGAUCUCAGAGACAUCGUCCACGAUCAUAAAGACAUUGUCCAUGAUCACAGAGACUUUGUCCAUAAUCUCAGAGACAUUGUCCGCGGUCACAGAGACGUAGUCCACAAUCGCUGAGAUGUCGUCCACGAUCGCAGAGACAUGGUCCACGAUCGGAGAGACAUUGUUGAGGAUGAGGGAGACAUUGUUCACGAUCAGAGACAUUGUCCAUGACUCGUGGUGACUUGGUCCCCGAUAAGUCGGCACUGCUGGCGUUCAUAGAGACAUUGUCGACGAUCGCAGAGACAUUGUCCAUAAUCUCAGAGACAUUGUCCGCGAUCACAGAGACGUAGUCCACGAUCACAGAGUCUUUGUGCAAUGAAGGAGUUCUUUGAGACCAGGACAGAGGCCUCCAGGUGUCACCACUUCGUCUCAACAUCGUCCACGAUCGCAGAGACAUGGUCCAUGAUCGGAGAGGCAUUGUUGAGGAUGAGGGAGACAUCGUCCACGAUCAGAGACAUUGUCCACGAUCGCAGAGACCUUGUCAAAGACGAGAGAGACGUUGUCCAUGAUCAGAGACAUUGUCCCAUGCUUCGCAGAGCUCUGCGCAAGAGUCGGUAGUGACACUGUGGUUCCUCGAUUCGACGGCAUGACCGCGAUCAUGGAAACAUUUGUCAAUGAUCACAGAGACACCGUCUAUGAUCUCAGAGACAUCGUCCACGAUCAUAAAGACAUUGUCCAUGAUCACAGAGACUUUGUCCAUAAUCUCAGAGACAUUGUCCGCGGUCACAGAGACGUAGUCCACGAUCACAGAGAGUGUUCGUACAAUGAAGGAGUUCUUUGAGACCAGGACAGAGGCCUCCAGGUGUCACCACUUCGUCUCAACAUCGUCCACGAUCGCAGAGACAUGGUCCAUGAUCGGAGAGGCAUUGUUGAGGAUGAGGGAGACAUCGUCCACGAUCAGAGACAUUGUCCACGAUCGCAGAGACCUUGUCAAAGACGAGAGAGACGUUGUCCAUGAUCAGAGACAUUGUCCCAUGCUUCGCAGAGCUCUGCGCAAGAGUCGGUAGUGACACUGUGGUUCCUCGAUUCGACGGCAUGACCGCGAUCAUGGAAACAUUUGUCAAUGAUCACAGAGACACCGUCUAUGAUCUCAGAGACAUCGUCCACGAUCAUAAAGACAUUGUCCAUGAUCACAGAGACUUUGUCCAUAAUCUCAGAGACAUUGUCCGCGGUCACAGAGACGUAGUCCACGAUCACAGAGAGUGUUCGUACAAUGAAGGAGUUCUUUGAGACCAGGACAGAGGCCUCCAGGUGUCACCACUUCGUCCACAUAUCGUCCACGAUUGCAGAGACAUGGUCCACGAUCGGAGAGACAUUGUUGAGGAUGAGGGAGACAUUGUCCACGAUCAGAGACAUUGUCCACGAUCGCAGAGACCUUGUCAAAGACGAGAGAGACGUUGUCCAUGAUCAGAGACAUUGUCCCAUGCUUCGCAGAGCUCUGCGCAAGAGUCGGUAGUGACACUGUGGUUCCUCGAUUCGACGGCAUGACCGCGAUCAUGGAAACAUUUGUCAAUGAUCACAGAGACACCGUCUAUGAUCUCAGAGACAUCGUCCACGAUCCCAAAGACAUUGCCCAUGGUCGCAGAGACAUUGUCCAUAAUCUCAGAGACAUUGUCCGCGGUCACAGAGACGUAGUCCACAAUCGCUGAGAUGUCGUCCACGAUCGCAGAGACAUGGUCCACGAUCGGAGAGACAUUGUUGAGGAUGAGGGAGACAUUGUUCACGAUCAGAGACAUUGUCCAUGACUCGUGGUGACUUGGUCCCCGAUAAGUCGGCACUGCUGGCGUUCAUAGAGACAUUGUCGACGAUCGCAGAGACAUUGUCCAUAAUCUCAGAGACAUUGUCCGCGAUCACAGAGACGUAGUCCACGAUCACAGAGUCUUUGUGCAAUGAAGGAGUUCUUUGAGACCAGGACAGAGGCCUCCAGGUGUCACCACUUCGUCUCAACAUCGUCCACAAUCGCAGAGACAUGGUCCAUGAUCGGAGAGGCAUUGUUGAGGAUGAGGGAGACAUCGUCCACGAUCAGAGACAUUGUCCACGAU
Lates calcarifer (barramundi perch) is the source of this 3349-nucleotide long non-coding RNA. RefSeq lists it as uncharacterized. The record is from RefSeq and is a predicted model, not a curated record. The transcript is spliced from 9 exons. Lineage: Eukaryota; Metazoa; Chordata; Actinopteri; Centropomidae.